AACCAUUCUCACCUGCGGCUAGACCUGCGGAAGGAUCAUUAUCAAGAGUGUAUGACCCCCUUAUAAAAUAGUGGGGUUAACCUCCCGUCCUUUGAAGGUCCCUCUUUGUUGAGGGUAAUUUGAAACCUUCUGCUUCGGUGGGUCUACUCACCGGAACAACCUCAAAAUUCUUUGUUCAACAGUUCAGUCCGAGUGGUAUAUUUUAAAAUUUUGAAAAACUUUCAACAAUGGAUCUCAGAU
RNAcentral lists this unclassified non-coding RNA (240 nucleotides) under soil metagenome. RNAcentral describes it as "partial contains 5.8S ribosomal RNA, internal transcribed spacer 2, and large subunit ribosomal RNA". The record is from RNAcentral.